Molecule: ribosomal RNA, 253 nt
Filed under: uncultured bacterium
Lineage: Bacteria
Description: partial 16S ribosomal RNA
Rfam family: Bacterial small subunit ribosomal RNA
Source: RNAcentral
UACGUACGAGGCGAGCGUUAUCCGGAAUUACUGGGCGUAAAGCGCGCGCAGGUGGCGAGUUAAGUCAGACGUGAAAUCUCCCGGCCUAACUGGGAGGGGUCGUUUGAAACUGGCUGGCUUGAGGACUGCAGAGGUGGGUGGAAUUCCUGGUGUAGUGGUGAAAUGCGUAGAGAUCAGGAGGAACACCGGUGGCGAAGGCGGCCCACUGGGCAGUCACUGACGCUGAGGCGCGACAGCGUGGGGAGCAAACAGG